CAGUUUAUCUGUAAGGAGGCAUUGGAGACCCAUCUCAGAAGCCACUGCUGGGGCACUUCAGGGCAAUUCAAUAUGAUUUUGUGAAGUACAUAGUAAGCUGUGUAUAAUUUUCAUUCUAGAGUAUGGCUCAAACACUCCCCAAAUGAAAGUUCUGAGUCAUUUUUUUUUUAAACCUGCAAAUUUUGUUAUGUGGAUAUGUCUUAACUGGAUAGAUCAUCAGAGUCCAGAUUCUGGAGCCCAGAGAGAACCAAGUCAGCAUCCAGCACCCACCACCUUGAGGUGGUACAUUUUAUCAAAGGAUUCUCCAUGAGAGAUUCUCGAAAGUGACAUAUCUCUGACUUAAAGUAGGACCUUGAUUCACAAACUUGGCACUCAAGUUCACAUUUCACAUGAAAAGGCCGGUAUGAAACAUCAUUGAUACCCAUUAACAUCCAUUAUCUUAGGGCCUCAUUUUUAUCAUGUUCCCAUGCAGGGUACUGUACAUAAAUUGUCUCAUUCUCUCCUCCAGUGACCCCAAGAGAUCAGUGCUACUGAACCUGUAUUAUAGACAUGGACACUGAGCUUCUGAAGGCAUUGUUCUGGCAGUUUGGACUGAAUGCCUCAAACACUGGUCUGGUAAUUUCAUCAUGUGGUCAGAGGUUCAUGAAUAAGAAAGUGCAAUCCAUCAUUGUAUGUAACGGCAAACAUGUAGAAACAACCAAGCUGCCCAACAAUAGAAGACUAAAUAGCACAUCCACUUGCUUGAAUACUAUGCCACUAAAGUAAUGGAUAUAAAUGUUUUAUAAUAAUGUGAAGACUUAGUUUUGAGCUAAUUUGGGAUAGGAAAACAGUUUACAACUUGCGCAGGAAGUAUUAUCUCAAUUGUGUAAAAUAAAAAUACAUGUGUGGAAAGAUUAUGAGAGAAUACUCUUAAAUAUUCUUAA
This is a non-coding RNA of Macaca mulatta (Rhesus monkey), 923 nucleotides long. NCBI's taxonomy places the organism in Eukaryota, Metazoa, Chordata, Mammalia, Primates, Cercopithecidae. The record is from RefSeq and is a predicted model, not a curated record.